RNAcentral lists this transfer RNA (68 nucleotides) under Marmota monax (woodchuck). RNAcentral describes it as "tRNA.Glu". The stretch from base 5 to 65 matches the Rfam family "tRNA", at positions 6 to 65 of the family's 71-position model. From Rfam's summary of the family: Transfer RNA (tRNA) molecules are approximately 80 nucleotides in length. Their secondary structure includes four short double-helical elements and three loops (D, anti-codon, and T loops). Further hydrogen bonds mediate the characteristic L-shaped molecular structure. tRNAs have two regions of fundamental functional importance: the anti-codon, which is responsible for specific mRNA codon recognition, and the 3' end, to which the tRNAs corresponding amino acid is attached (by aminoacyl-tRNA synthetases). tRNAs cope with the degeneracy of the genetic code in two manners: having more than one tRNA (with a specific anti-codon) for a particular amino acid; and 'wobble' base-pairing, i.e. permitting non-standard base-pairing at the 3rd anti-codon position. The record is from RNAcentral. Lineage: Eukaryota; Metazoa; Chordata; Mammalia; Rodentia; Sciuridae.
GGACUGUGGCUCAGUGGCAGAGCCCUUGCCUCUCAAGUAUGAGGCACUGGGUUCGAUCCACAGCACCA